This 263-nucleotide ribosomal RNA is filed under the name uncultured archaeon. RNAcentral describes it as "partial 16S ribosomal RNA". It matches the Rfam family "Archaeal small subunit ribosomal RNA", at positions 717 to 982 of the family's 1478-position model. The record is from RNAcentral.
AGUCACUGACAUUAGAUACCCGUGUAGUCCAGGGUGUAAACGCUGCAGACUUGGUGUUGGAGGCCUUUGGGGCAUUCAGUGCCGGAGAGAAGUUGUUAAGUCUGCUACUUGGGGAGUACGUCCGCAAGGAUGAAACUUAAAGGAAUUGGCGGGGGAGCACCGCAACGGGAGGAGCGUGCGGUUUAAUUGGAUUCAACACCGUAAAACUCACCAGGGAAGACUGUUACAUGAAGGCCGAGAUGAAGACUCUGCUAGAUUUUCAG